RNAcentral lists this transfer RNA (71 nucleotides) under Stegodyphus mimosarum. It matches the Rfam family "tRNA". Rfam says of the family: Transfer RNA (tRNA) molecules are approximately 80 nucleotides in length. Their secondary structure includes four short double-helical elements and three loops (D, anti-codon, and T loops). Lineage: Eukaryota; Metazoa; Arthropoda; Arachnida; Araneae; Eresidae. The record is from Rfam by way of RNAcentral.
GCCUUCGUGGUGUAAUGGUAGCACAUUCAACACAUAUUCAAAAGGUCCAGGUUCGAGCCCCGGUGAGGGCA